RNAcentral lists this ribosomal RNA (464 nucleotides) under uncultured bacterium. Its description in RNAcentral is "partial 16S ribosomal RNA". It matches the Rfam family "Bacterial small subunit ribosomal RNA", at positions 28 to 507 of the family's 1533-position model. The record is from RNAcentral.
GACGAACGCUGGCGGCGUGCUUAACACAUGCAAGUCGAACGGAAAGGCCCUUCUUUUGGUGGUUGCUCGAGGGGCGAACGGGUGAGUAACACGUGAGUAGCCUUCCCUUUACUUUGGGAUAACUUCAGGAAACUGUGGUAAAUACCGGGUAUCAGCGCCGGCUGCAUGGUGGGGGAAGGCAUCGGCGGUUGGGGGUGGACUCACGGCUUAUUAGCUUGUUGGUGGGGUGGUGGUUUACCAAGGCUUUGUCGGGUAGCUGGCCUGCGAGGGCGGCCGGCCAGAUUGGGACUGAGAUCCGGCCCAGACUCCUACGGGAGGCAGAAGGGGGGAAUAUUGCACAAUGGGCGGAAGCCUGAUGCAGCAACGCCGCGUGCGGGAUGACGGCCUUCGGGUUGUAAACCGCUUUCGCCUGUGACGAAGCGGGAGUGACGGUAAUGGGUAAAGAAGCACCGGCUAACUACGUG